RNAcentral lists this long non-coding RNA (209 nucleotides) under Olea europaea (common olive). Its description in RNAcentral is "long non-coding RNA (OEUR_LNC003487)". The record is from RNAcentral. Lineage: Eukaryota; Viridiplantae; Streptophyta; Magnoliopsida; Lamiales; Oleaceae.
UGAGCUCUUCAAAGGCUCCAGCAGUGACGACUGCCGGCUGGGGCUCUGGCACUUCUGAUGAUUCCUCUUGAGGAAUAGGGAUAUCCUCAGGAGGGGGUUGGUUUGGAGCGGAUGAGCUUGCUGGUGGAAGACCUGAACGUGUGUUUACCAUGGCUUUUGGUAGCGUUUCCCACAGACGGCGCCAAUGAUGCUACCAAAAAUCGUACCUG